This is a non-coding RNA of Pan troglodytes (chimpanzee), 148 nucleotides long. It matches the Rfam family "Metazoan signal recognition particle RNA". From Rfam's summary of the family: The signal recognition particle (SRP) is a universally conserved ribonucleoprotein. It is involved in the co-translational targeting of proteins to membranes. The record is from Rfam. Lineage: Eukaryota; Metazoa; Chordata; Mammalia; Primates; Hominidae.
GCCAGGCAUGGUGGUGCACGCCUGUAGUCCCAGCUACUUGGGAGGCUGAGGUGGGAGGAUGGAUUGAGCCCAGGAGGUCAAGGCUGCAGUGAGCUGUGAUUGUGCCACUGCACUUCAGCCUGGGCAAUAGAGCAAGACCCUGUCUCAA